CCAUUUAAUGAUACAGAGAAGAAUAUCAUGGCCCUUGUGCAAGGAUGACAUGCAAAUUCGUGACAGGUUCCAUAUUAAA
RNAcentral lists this small nuclear RNA (79 nucleotides) under Panthera tigris altaica (Amur tiger). The record is from RNAcentral. Lineage: Eukaryota; Metazoa; Chordata; Mammalia; Carnivora; Felidae.